GUUUGAUCAUGGCUCAGGAUAAACGCUGGCGGCGUGCCUUAUGCAUGCAAGUCGAACGCACCGCAAGGUGAGUGGCGAACGGGUGAGUAACACGUAGGAACCUGCCUGGAAGUGGGGGAUAACUCCUCGAAAGAGGGGCUAAUACCGCAUACGGUCUUCGGACCAAAGCUUCGGCGCUUUCAGAGGGGCCUGCGGCGGAUUAGCUUGUUGGUGGGGUAACGGCCUACCAAGGCGACGAUCCGUAGCUGGUCUGAGAGGAUGGUCAGCCACACUGGGACUGAGAUACGGCCCAGACUCCUACGGGAGGCAGCAGCAAGGAAUUUUGCGCAAUGGGCGAAAGCCUGACGCAGCAACGCCGCGUGGGGGAUGAAGGCCUUCGGGUUGUAAACCCCUUUUGCGAGGGAAGAAGAUCUGACGGUACCUCGCGAAUAAGCCACGGCUAACUACGUGCCAGCAGCCGCGGUAAUACGUAGGUGGCAAGCGUUGUCCGGAUUUACUGGGCGUAAAGCGCGCGCAGGCGGAUUGGUCAGUCUGGGGUGAAAUCUCACGGCUCAACUGUGAGCGGUCCCUGGAUACUGCCAGUCUUGAGGGGUCUAGAGGAGAGCGGAAUUCCCGGUGUAGUGGUGGAAUGCGUAGAUAUCGGGAAGAACACCAGUGGCGAAAGCGGCUCUCUGGGGAUCACCUGACGCUGAGGCGCGAAAGCGUGGGGAGCGAACCGGAUUAGAUACCCGGGUAGUCCACGCCGUAAACGAUGAGUACUAGCUGUCGGGGGUAUCGACCCCUCCGGUAGCGCAGCUAACGCGUUAAGUACUCCGCCUGGGGACUACGGCCGCAAGGCUAAAACUCAAUGAAUUGACGG
RNAcentral lists this ribosomal RNA (859 nucleotides) under uncultured bacterium. Its description in RNAcentral is "bacterial SSU rRNA". It matches the Rfam family "Bacterial small subunit ribosomal RNA", at positions 11 to 916 of the family's 1533-position model. The record is from RNAcentral.